RNAcentral lists this ribosomal RNA (274 nucleotides) under uncultured bacterium. Its description in RNAcentral is "partial 16S ribosomal RNA". It matches the Rfam family "Bacterial small subunit ribosomal RNA", at positions 523 to 796 of the family's 1533-position model. The record is from RNAcentral.
AUACGUAGGUCCCGAACGUUGCGCGAAAUUACUGGGCGUAAAGGGUCCGUAGGCGGUCUGGUAAGUGGAAGGUGAAAGCCUGGGGCUCAACUCCAGAAUUGCCUUCCAAACUGCCGGACUUGAGGCAGGGAGAGGUCGGCGGAAUUCCCGGUGUAGCGGUGAAAUGUGUAGAUAUCGGGAGGAACACCAGUGGCGAAGGCGGCCGACUGGAACUGUCCUGACGCUGAGGGACGAAAGCCAGGGGAGCGAACCGGAUUAGAAACCCUUGUAGUCC